This is a long non-coding RNA of Planococcus citri (citrus mealybug), 2072 nucleotides long. RefSeq lists it as uncharacterized. Lineage: Eukaryota; Metazoa; Arthropoda; Insecta; Hemiptera; Pseudococcidae. The transcript has 4 exons. The record is from RefSeq and is a predicted model, not a curated record.
GGUGCUGUGGGUGCUGUGGUGGUGAGUUUUUUUUUCAAACGCCAUUUUUUUUUCAGUCGUUUUCUUUCCCGUUUUUUUCUGCCUGCGUUUUUCAAUCUCGUUUCUUUUGAGCGUUGGAUGUAGUUAGAGUUGCAUUACUACGUUGAAUUAAUUAAUUAUUAUUGAAUUAUUUGUUCUGUUUUGUGUUAUGGCAUCGACAUCGACUUAAUGAAUGUUAACGUGUUCAACAAUAUGAUCAAAAGUGUCGUUUUGGGUUUUGCAUUAUUUCAAACUUCGAAAGAGACGUCAGACGUGAUCAAUAUUUAAUUCAAUUCCAACGAUUAUCUUGUCGAAUGUUGCAGCUUGCCAGUGAUGAUGAGUCAUACCCACCUGCCCGAUACUUUCAUACGAUAUUUUGUGUGAUGUUGGAUUUGAUUUACCUUAUGUUAAUGGAACGUUUACCUACAUUUUGAAUGAAUAUCUACUUUGAUGAAUUCUAAGAUAUGAUCGGAGGUGCUGUUUAGCAUAUUUCAAGGAGAUGUGAUAAGUCUGGUGUUCAUCCAAUUGCACAGAAUUGGCAAGCAGAAAAAUGGAAUCGAAAUAGGUACAUACCUAUACGCACGAUAACUUGAGAUGAAACAAAUUUGAUAACCAACCGAGCACCAACCAAUGUUUAAAAAAUUUGCAUAUUAUACCUACUUGAAAGAACAAAAAUAACUUCUGCAACGCCAUUGUAAACCUAAAAAUAGAAAACAUAUCUAAGUUAAGUAUCUAUGUAUGUAUUAUGGAGGAAGAACGCUACACGUUGUCCGGGGAGUGGUGGUACAAACAUCAGAUAUUUGGAUAUAACCGGCCGGUAUGAGUAAAAAAACCGUAAGAUAAACAAGUUGCCUAUCUUGAAAAUUGAAGGGGCAAAAUACUUUUUCAAAAUCAAAGAGCGAAAAUCCAAUUUUGAACAUGGGUGUCGAUAGUACUUUGAAAAAUGAUCAAAAUUGUCUUUCAUGACUUUUAGCUAAUUUCAAAAAAUCGCGAUGAAAAAAAUGAAUAGUUACUUACUGCGUCAAAAAAUGAACAACGUUUUGUUAUGAUCAUUUUUUUUCCUACUCUUAAAUUUAAAAAGUUUUUGGAAUUCAAAAGUUUUUUUUCGUUAAAAAUGUUAUUAAAUUAUCAAUUUUUAAGUUCCAAAAACUUUUUAAAUUUUAGGUCAAGAAAAAAAAUGAUCGUCCUACUAAACGAGUGAUUCGUGAAAAUUGAAAAAAAUCAGUUGAGAGAGGAAUGAGGAGGUAAAAGAUUCGAAAAAUCGACAGCAAAAAUUUUAUGGAGGGUAUAAUAUGACUGAAUUUUUUUUUCAAAUAUCGUCAUACCCUCAGAUAUAUCGAGGAUAUUUUGCUGUUGAAACCGUGACGGAAGGAUGAAGGUUGUACAUGUACUUGUCUUCUUUUCUAGUUUAAUUGUUUGUUUAGAUACUCGAAUGAUGUAUAUUUUUACCGUUCGAUACCUUUCUGUAAAUAUUGCACUUGGUUUUGCAUUUGUCUCCCAUAACCAACUUGAAUACCCAGGUAUUAUUUUUCUAGUUUACUGAGGGUGAUCACCUCUUAGUAUUUUGAUGUAUUAUGUUAAAAUGUUUGCGAUCUUAUUUUUUUUUAUUUUUUCAUUUUUUUUAGUAAAUGUGUCGUGUUUUUACCCAUUGGUACGUAGGUGUAGGUACCUACUGUCACUUUGUUACGUUUUAAAUUUUUCUCGCCGAGAAUUUCGCUAAUUUUUGUCUUUUAUUUCAUUUGCCUGUCUACUAUAUUUUUGAAAUUCUGUCAGGUAUGUUUCUCCAAUGAUGUUUUUCAUUUUGUUACUUAUGUGCUGUUGUAUUGAUGCUCGAUUCAAUUUUGUAUUUUUUUUUUUUUAUUUUUCAAAGAUUUUGCUCAUGUAUCUAAGUAUAAGAUUUUCGAGCUUAGCUAGAUGGCGAAUAUUAUCGUCUGUAUACGUAUGCACUUAUCCAAUAUGCACUUUUGGAAAGCACCCCCUCGAUGUUCAUGUAUAUGUGAGGGCGCAUACGGAAAGGGUCCUUAUGACCAAAAAAAAAAAAAAAAAAAAAGUUC